ACUCAAAGGAAUAGACGGGGACCCGCACAAGCGGUGGAGCAUGUGGUUUAAUUCGAAGAUACGCGAAGAACCUUACCGAGGCUUGACAUCCCAGGAAGGUGCUGGAAACAGUGCCGUGCCUUCGGGAACCUGGUGACAGGUGUUGCAUGGCCGUCGUCAGCUCGUGUCGUGAGAUGUUGGGUUAAGUCCCGCAACGAGCGCAACCCUUAUUGUCUGUUGUAUUUUUCAGGCGAGACUGCCCCGGCCAACGGGGAGGAAGGUGGGGACGACGUCAGGUCAGCAUGGCCCUUACGCCUCGGGCUACACACGUGCUACAAUGGCCGGCACAACGCGUCGCGAAGUCGUAAGAUGGAGCUAAUCGCAGCAAAACUGGUCUCAGUUCGGAUAGAGGGCUGCAACUCGCCCUCUUGAAGUCGGAAUCGCUAGUAACCGUAGGUCAGCAUACUACGGUGAAUACGUUCCCGGGUCUUGUACACACCGCCCGU
This 485-nucleotide ribosomal RNA is filed under the name uncultured bacterium. RNAcentral describes it as "partial 16S ribosomal RNA". It matches the Rfam family "Bacterial small subunit ribosomal RNA", at positions 899 to 1397 of the family's 1533-position model. The record is from RNAcentral.